UACGUAGGGUGCGAGCGUUGUCCGGAAUUAUUGGGCGUAAAGAGCUCGUAGGCGGUCUGUCGCGUCUGCUGUGAAAACCCGAGGCUCAACCUCGGGCCUGCAGUGGGUACGGGCAGACUAGAGUGCGGUAGGGGAGAAUGGAAUUCCUGGUGUAGCGGUGAAAUGCGCAGAUAUCAGGAGGAACACCGGUGGCGAAGGCGGGUCUCUGGGCCGAUACUGACGCUGAGGAGCGAAAGCGUGGGGAGCGAACAGG
Molecule: ribosomal RNA, 253 nt
Filed under: uncultured bacterium
Lineage: Bacteria
Description: partial 16S ribosomal RNA
Rfam family: Bacterial small subunit ribosomal RNA
Source: RNAcentral